This 5963-nucleotide long non-coding RNA is filed under the name Salmo salar (Atlantic salmon). Its description in RNAcentral is "lncRNA (ENSSSAG00000092408.1)". Lineage: Eukaryota; Metazoa; Chordata; Actinopteri; Salmoniformes; Salmonidae. The record is from RNAcentral.
CAGAAACGUGCUUUUAUUGGUGAGGGACAGUCAGGGUCUUUUCACUGAGCCGCAUCAUUUGGCUCCUUCACGUAAAAGAGGAGCAUAAUUUUGCUCACAAACGGCUCUUCAUUCAAAAACUUGAAUAUCGACCUAGAACCAUAAAAAAAAUGAUAAUCUCUAAUGUAAAGCCCAAAAGGUAGGCAACCAUUAUGUCAGAUCGUGAUAUGCACGUUCAAAUGCAGUUAUUAGAUCGCCUGCAAUUUUUUAUUUUUUUUAUUCACGACUUAAAAAUGAGCAUGGACCAGAGUGAUGUGCUCUCCCCACUAUUUAUGAUAUCUGCAUUGAGGAUUUACCAUCUUCAGAAAAUGAUUUUGUAACGUAUUUGCAGAUAAUGGUUGUUUUGAAGCUCAAAAUGCAGUAGGCCUACUAGGCUAGCAGUGUGUAAAUCAGGGUGUCAAACGAACGAACGUCUCUCACCGAUAUGAUUCGGUUCCCAACGUUCACCAAAAGGAGCCGUUCAAAAAGACCAGUUUGUUCGCGGACGACUCAUCAAUAGCUUUCAGCAGAGAGGUCCUACAAAAUCUUUCCAUGAAAAUAAGACCAUGAAGUGAGGAGUUUUUAGAUGGAGGUCAAUGAGGGUGUCGAAUUUGGUCAACAAAAAAUGUAAUUGCUCAUUUGCUAUGUGAGGCUUAUUUGAUCAAAUAGAAGUUUCGUAAUGGUAGGGUUGUUACGAAUGCACUAGCAAACACAAAAUAUAUAUAAACGCAACAUGUAAAGUGUUGGUUUCAUGAGCUGAAAUAAAAUAAAUAAAAGAUCCCAGAAAUGUUCCAUACGCACAAAAAGCUUCUCAAAUUUUGUGCACAAAUUUGUUUACAUCCUUGUUAGUGAGCAUUUCUCCUUUGCCAAGAUAAUCCAUCCACCUGACAGGUGUGGCAUAUCACGAAGCUGAUUAAACAGCAUGAUCAUUGGCAUUUCGGUUACUUAAAAAAAAAAAAAAACAUUAUAUAUUGUUUCCACACGUAUCUGCCCUGUCAUUGGCUAGAAUGGCCCCCCUGUCUAACCUCCUCUCGCUUGCCUUCCAUCUUUGAGGACAUUUAUUUCCAUUGUUAGAGCUGUCACUCGACAUUCUCAACAAUAUAAUAGAUAGUCUUUGCUUUCAGUCAGAAAAGGGCUUUCACCACCCUGACCAAUGACUGUAUAUGAAUGGACAAAGCCAUCGAUCACGUGACACCAUUCAUAGCUACGUGAAGAGCACUGAAGCCAAAUUAAGUCAGUUAAGAUGGCAUCUCAUGGAGACCUAACGUGCUGUUUGAGCUACUCCAGGAAGUGAAGUUGCAGGCUAGCUCAAUGCUUCCCCCUGUCCAUUGACCACGUGUCCAUGCACACCAAUAUCCGUUAUUAUUCGGGAUACUCAAGUAUUCUAUUUUUGAGUUGACGCAUAUAAACGUCAUAUCCCGUUUACAAUAACCUGAUUAAGCUUGUAAUCCUGCGUAUGUGAAACCAGGAUAAGAUGCCUGGGAUAUGCAUAUUUUAGAUGGGAUACUGGGGCAUGUAAACAUCUUAUCUUGUUUACUGUUGUUUUCUUGCGGCCUGCACAGGCUCAGUUGCACAUAUCAUAUGUGUUGUACAGUCUGUGGUGUUUUGUAAUGAUGUUUUCAUCUGAUUGUCAAACAAAUCACUUCAAAAAGUAGGCUACCUGCGCAGUUCGAUCUACCAUAAUAAUUCAAUAACAAUUUAUUUUGCUGAUACUCCGUACUGAACCACAUAACAUAGUGGGUACUUUCACUCCUAAUUUAGACACGUUUCUCCUUAUAAUUUCCAACAUUUGGUAGGCCAUAUACUUUUGGACAUUUGGUAGGCCAUUUGUCAACUAUAGUUAGAAACAUGCAACUACUCUUCUGUCAUAAAUCGUUGACCUAGAAGACUAAAUAAACUAGUGCUUACCAGAAUAAUGUCUUAUAUCAAUAGUUAACACUGGUAAAGUUGUCUGUUUCGUUUGGAGACCGGGAUAAAAUGCAAUAGCUCCAAAACAGUGGAAGGAUUGUUCAUGUGCAAAAUGUCCAAUGUCAUCAGUUUGACCAGUGUUAAGGAAAUUAAAAGCUGAGAAAACGAUUAAACACGUUUAUAAGACUUCAGUUCAUCUUGGGCGCAUAUUUUAUGUGGUUGAACUAGUCCGCUUGCAUAACGGUGUCAAAGAUAACACAUUACACACGCCUUCGCGUUUUCUCAAGAGAUGCUGAAAGAAAGAAAUCAUAUUUCUCCACUCCUGUUCCCGAGACAAAAUUAACAUUUGUUGUAUGAUUUUACUCCAGGAAAUGUAUAAUUCUGCAGGAGUUAAUAUUAAAUUACAUGUGAGAGGUUAUAGGCCUACAGUGAAUGUCCAUAUUUCAGUUACUAUUCCAUUUAACCCAUAUGAACUUCAACCAGGAAUAUUCUGUUUAUUCAUGGAUACAGGGAUACUCCUGAAUGGGAUAUCAAAGGUGCAUGUAAACAGCUUAUCCCGAAUAAGACCUUAAGUGGGAUACAGCUGCCAACUCUCACGCAUUGUCCGUGAGACACACGCAUCCAGUUCUCACGCUCACACACCACACCUCUUAUAUCUCACGCAUCUAAAAGCACUGGUUUUAUUUUACUGAUUAAUCCAGUGUAUAUUCAGUGCGUUAACGUUUUAUGUUCUCCAAAUCAUUUUGAAAUCGAAGCAUCUGCACCUAGGGGCGGAGCCAGAGGGGUGUCCGGGGUGGCACUGGACACCCCUGACAUCUGAUUGGCCACCCGGGUGCCACCCCAACAUUUUAUUCGCUACUGACAGUUUGAUGCUGAUUGCCAUCCCAUUUCACCUCUUGUUGAAAGAAGCACUUAUUUUGACAUUCGGCGGUGCAUUUUUAUAAUCGAGGAAGAGAGAAUAUUCGUUGGUUGCGAGAUACAGAAGAAUAAGAAGAACAUACAGAAGAAGAAGAGAGAAUAUUUCCACAGCUCCAUGAGCUCUUUUCACGCUUGGCGAAAGCAUGAUAUAGUGAAGUAAGUUUUAAGGUUUAGCAUCGGGUUUAGGUUUCCCGAACAACUUUUACGAAAGUUGAGUUGCUGUGUAAGUUAACGUUAGACCUUUGGCUCCAUUAACAGACAGUUAAUCAGAUAAGAGAGAUCGGUUCCCAAUUUAGCCUAACAUUAUGUUUAAAUCUGUGCUAGUAAUACACGCAUAUACAGUGCAGUGUCGUAAGUUACAGUAUACGAAUGUUUAGCUAAUGUGGGGUAACCAGUAGGCUACAGCUGUCAGUGUUCAGCAAUUUGAAAUCCAUUAACUCAGUUAGAUUUUCGUACUGGAACUCAAUACAAACAAUUGUUAUUAUCAAUCUGUUAACGUUACUCAAAAUAUUACCACAAUUAAACAUGAAAAGAAAGGGAGAGAUAUCAGACUUAUUUUUAAAGAAGCACAAACAGGCAGAUAAGGUGCAAACAGACCCCAGCCCUUGGAUCACCACCGGACUCCAGAGCAGCUCCUUACAUGAGGCUAGUCAGAGUCAGUGUGGUCAGACUUCACAAGGACCCAGUCUACCACCACCAGAUGUAUCAAGGGAUGACACAGAGACCUCUGGUUCUGAGCAAGACAGUGAGCCAGAGCUGCCAGGAGAUGUCAUCGAGCCCCCCCAACUGCAUCAAGCACCAGAUAUGCUGUUCCAAAAGGACCCAAUGACAUUUCAAGAUCCAGAGAAGAAGGUCCUGUACAGCUGUGUUUGAAAAUAUUUCCCAGUACUCAGCUUGGUACUAGGAAAAGGGCUUUCAACAGCUCCUGGUAUAAGGACAAUUCAUGACUUGAAUAUUCUGUAAAUCAAGAUUUGACUUAUUGUUUGCCUGUAGGCAUUUUUCUCUGCCCAAUACACCUGAAUCUGCCUUCACAUCACAGUCAGGUUUUUGUAACUGGAAAAAAGGCGCUGUUUAAAGAUUCUGGGUUUAAGCUCUAUUCCAAGGCAGAGCAUCAUAUCAAUGCUAUGUAUGCUUGGAAUCAGCAUAAAAGGGCUAUUGACAGCAACUCAUCAAUGUUAGAUGUCAUAAAUGAGGACCGGAAAAGAAAGUGGAGGAAAACUGUACUUACAUUAAAACAAUUGCAGAUGUGCUCCUAUUAACUGCCACUGAAAAUAUAGCACAGAGGUCAUCGAGAGUCUGAUGACUCUCACAACAAGGGUCAUUUUUGGACAAUCUUAGAAGAAAUAGCAAAGCAUGACACUCUCAUAGAGAAAAGGAUGAAUGCAUGUGGAAAUGCUAAGUACACAAGCCACCAAAUCCAGAACGAAGUUCUUGAGGGCUUAGCUGAGAUGGUACAAAGUGAAAUAAUAAGAGAAGUAAAAGAAAGUGAAGUUUUUCAUGUAAUUGCAGAUGAAACCAAAGAUUUAAAGAAAAAAUAACAAAAGUCUUUAGUUGUGAGGUACUAUGACAACGGGGCCAUCCACAAAAGCUUUUUACACUUUCAGUCAGCUAAAAGCUUAGAUGCAGCAGGUCUCACAAAAAUUAUAAUUGAUUGCCUUGAAAAACAUGUUCUGGACUACAGAAAUAAUCUUGUGGGGCAAGGCUAUGACGGUGCAUCCGUCAUGAGCGGAAAGCAUUCUGGUGUGUCUGCAUGGAUUAAAAACAGUGCAAGAUUUGCAUUUUAUGUGCACUGUAAUGCACAUUGUUUGAAUUUGGUUCUUGUCGAUGCUGUAAAAUCAGUGCCUGAGGCAGUUCUGAGAGUGCUACAGGAUAUCACACUUGAAAAUAGUGGUGAUAGAUCAGUUAUAUUUACAUUUCAUAGGGCUUUUGGUUACCUUUUGUAAAGUGCUUGGUGAUACCAAAUGUCUUUCGGACAUGCUCCAGUCAAGCUCUCUUGACCUAGCAAGGGCUGUGGAUCUAGUAGGUGCCCUUACAGACACAUUACAGGACUUCAGAAGUGAGGGUUACUUUGGAGAACUAUGGACAGAGGUUGAAGAGAUUUCAGAGCACUGCAAAAUAAGUGUACAAACAGUGUGUAAAAGACAGCCUAAAACAAGCUUAAGAUUUCACGACUCAUUGAUGAUGAGCACUGUAGGACAGAAAAUUUGUGAUCAAAGUGAUGGUGAGAGCUUCCAAAGAGAUAUCUUUUAUCAGGUGCUUGACAGUCUCACAGCUGAGCUGCAGAGGCGUUUUUCAAAGAAGAAUUGUGUGAUAAUGCAAGGGGUCCAGUCUCUCAACCCAAAGAGUACAACAUUCUUGAAUGAGGAGCCUCUAUUUGCCUUUGCUCAGACCUUUGAGUCAGAUUUAGAGGACCUCAAACAUGAGGUUCACCAAACCAAGUGGCUUCUUGAUAGGCAUCUUGAUAGGAGAGAGAAAAGUGGAAGGGACAGACCGUCUACUCUACUUGAAAGAGGUCUUUCAUGAGCUAUUUCGACUUAAGAUUUCUGUUGUUACACCAGUCAGUAGUGCUUCUUGCGAGAGAAGCUUCUCAGCUUUAAAACUGAUUAAAACCCACCUCAGGACAACAAUGGUUGAUGACAGGUUAAAUCACCUCGGAAUUCUCAGUGUUGAGUCAAGGAGGGUACGCUCCCUCAACAUGGAUGAGUUUGUGAAACAUUUUGCCAGUUCUCAACAGAACCGCAGAAUUAUGCUGUUUUAAAUAUACCUAGGAAAAUUUGGUACUUAGGCAGUCCCUCUGGUCAGGAUUAAAACCUGCACUGUGUAUUAGCUAGUAUACUGACAUUCUAAAAUGGUCAAUCCAAGGCGUAUCAUGUCACACAGAUUUAAUUUGGUCUUGAUUAGGCCAAUUCCAAAACUUUUCUUUGUUAUUAGUUAACAUAGUAUAUAUGUGCAUAAAUAUGAUACUGUACAUUUGUAAUAUUGAUGGGCAACAAAAUUAUUUUAAUUUUUCAAGUCCAUUUCUUGAUACCUGGUAUGUCAAAUUGCAGUGUGUUUUUUUGUAAAUUUACAUUUUUGUAAAUAAACUAUGCAAUUUAUGUAACACACAAAUGCUGUCUUAU